RNAcentral lists this ribosomal RNA (468 nucleotides) under uncultured bacterium. Its description in RNAcentral is "partial 16S ribosomal RNA". It matches the Rfam family "Bacterial small subunit ribosomal RNA", at positions 28 to 507 of the family's 1533-position model. The record is from RNAcentral.
GACGAACGCUGGCGGCGUGCUUAACACAUGCAAGUCGAACGGAAAGGCCCUGCUUUUGUGGGGUGCUCGAGUGGCGAACGGGUGAGUAACACGUGAGUAACCUGCCCUUGACUUUGGGAUAACUUCAGGAAACUGGGGCUAAUACCGGAUAGGAGCUCCUGCUGCAUGGUGGGGGUUGGAAAGUUUCGGCGGUUGGGGAUGGACUCGCGGCUUAUCAGUUUGUUGGUGGGGUAGUGGCUUACCAAGGCUUUGACGGGUAGCCGGCCUGAGAGGGUGACCGGCCACAUUGGGACUAAGAUACGGCCCAGACUCCUACGGGAGGCAGCAGUGGGGAAUAUUGCACAAUGGGCGGAAGCCUGAUGCAGCAACGCCGCGUGCGGGAUGACGGCCUUCGGGUUGUAAACCGCUUUCGCCUGUGACGAAGCGUGAGUGACGGUAAUGGGUAAAGAAGCACCGGCUAACUACGUG